GACGAACGCUGGCGGCGUGCCUAAUACAUGCAAGUAGAACGCACAGUUUAUACCGUAGCUUGCUACACCAUAGACUGUGAGUUGCGAACGGGUGAGUAACGCGUAGGUAACCUGCCUGGUAGCGGGGGAUAACUAUUGGAAACGAUAGCUAAUACCGCAUAAUAUUAAUUAUUGCAUGAUAAUUAAUUGAAAGGUGCAAUUGCACCACUACCAGAUGGACCUGCGUUGUAUUAGCUAGUAGGUGAGGUAACGGCUCACCUAGGCGACGAUACAUAGCCGACCUGAGAGGGUGAUCGGCCACACUGGGACUGAGACACGGCCCAGACUCCUACGGGAGGCAGCAGUAGGGAAUCUUCGGCAAUGGACGAAAGUCUGACCGAGCAACGCCGCGUGAGUGAAGAAGGGUUUCGGAUCGUAAAGCUCUGUUGUAAGAGAAGAACGGGUGUGAGAGUGGAAAGUUCACACUGUGACGGUAUCUUACCAGAAAGGGACGGCUAACCACGUG
Molecule: ribosomal RNA, 505 nt
Filed under: uncultured bacterium
Lineage: Bacteria
Description: partial 16S ribosomal RNA
Rfam family: Bacterial small subunit ribosomal RNA
Source: RNAcentral